CUUCUUCUCAUCACUCCUUUACAUGCCUUCCUUCUUUUCCACAGGUGGGCUCUGAUUAACUUAAGCUGAUCAACAAAGCCCUUGCAUCUGACUACAGUGAUUGCUUCAGGAUGAGCACUUGAUUCCAUUAAGGCCAAAGAGACAUGAGGAAGUAUUAAAGCUCAUCUAGAUUUCAGCGUGGCUAGUGUCAUCUUCUACAACUCCCUGGAUGCCUCCUUGGCUUCGGCGCCUGGAAAUCCUCCUUUCUUUUCUUGUCCAGAGCUCUCUGUUCAAUGCCACGUGCCUCCGGUGCAUUCUCAAGACAGGUGCCCUGCUCUGAGCUGCUCUAUGGAGUGGCCUAUGUGGCAGGAACUGAAGAUAAUCUUCAACUGCCAGCCAGCAAAAAAUGGAGGUCCUCAGUCCAACAUCCCACAAGGAACCGAAUUCUACCAACAGCCAUGUGAAUGAGACUGCAGUCUUGGUCAGAAAUGGGAUUGCAGCUUUCCGAAGAGACUCUGGAAUAGAGGACCCAACAAACGGAUGCCUGGACUCCUGACCCAAACCCACAGUAACGGAAUCAGGACGUGCUUGCCCCUGAAGGUUAAAGCUGAUGUUUGCCCCCCAAGGAAACUUCUUUCCAUCAAAGCAUCUCUCACCAUCAUCCCUGGCCUACAGAGGGCAUCCGCUUUUCAAGAAUGCCAACUCCUCUCUCACCAAUGUGUGUUUUUUCUGGAGCACAUCAAGGAUUGUGUGGCAUCUGACUUCUCCUGCACAGGCCACCAUUGAGACUCACUUUUAGACGGCCAAGCAAGAAGCGUAAACCUCUUCAUAAUCUUGCUAUUCUUUUGGUUUUGCUUCCCAUGGAAUGGCCUUACUGUUCAAAUUCAGAUGCACUAGGCAAGUUCAGAAGACAAGAGUGAAGACGAGAAGCCAACAGCCUCACACUGAGGGCGAUUCUUUCUGCAGCUCCCCACUGCACAAGCAAGCUUGGUAUUCAUCAAUAUGACAUGGUCUGGAAGUUUUCCUAUAUAUUCAUCAGCUUGGGUUACCAAACAAAGUACAAACUACUCAGUGGCUUUAGCAAUAUAAAUUUACUUUCUCAGAGUUCUGGGGGCUGGAUCCAGGUGCAGCAUGGUUGAGUUCUGGUGAGGCCUCUCUUCCUGACUUGCAGACAGCUACCUUCCCACCGUGUGCACGCAUGACCUUUCCUCGGGACUCGCAUGCAGAGAGAGAGCUCCAGUAUCUCUUCUUUUUGCACGGGCACCAGUUCUGUCGGAUUAGGGCUUCACCCUUAUGACCUCAUUUAACCUUAGUCCUCCUUAAAGCCCCUAUCUCCGGUAUAGUCACAUGUGGGAUUAGGGCUUCAACAUAUGAAUUUAGGGAGAAGGAAGACAACUCAGUCUCUAGCAUCCUGGGAUCUAGAUACUGGAGGAUACAAUCUGCAUCUGACAAAAAUCUCAGGGUUCUAGAAAACAUUUCAUGUUUGAAAAUGGUUGCCAGAAAUAUUUAAAAUUCUGAGUAAGUGGAAUUUAAAGGGAAAGACUUUAUCUUUAGAUUCUAAGCUCCAGGAGGGCAGGGACUGUGCCUCAGUAUUUCAGCACAGAGCACAGCAGCAGGCCCUGAUAAACGUGAAUUCAGUAAAGACAGCCCUUCCUGAAGAUAGAAGACUAGUAGUUUGCAGGACUGUUACUGUAUCGCCUUCACUUGGCCCCUGUUAGGAACCCAGAGGGAGGGUAAGAGGGCUCCUGUCACCACUGAAAAUUGACUAGCCUGGAAUUUUCCAGAGGUUUCCAGAAUUUUCCCAGUUUCCUGCUGCCCCUUCCCUAUUCUGGUUCUGCUUCUGAGGACACAGCUGCCAGCUUUCGGCUCUGAUGCUCUGUUUGCACUGUCCUGAGAGAAAUAAAAUUUUCCACUCAGGAUCUAGUAAAAUAAAAACAUUUUAAACAAAAUGUAGUACAUAUACAUAUGCACACAAGAACAGUUAGUUUAAAAGCAGCCUAGAAAAACCUUUUGUUCUCAUGUUAUUUAGGAUUUCUGCCGUCGCGGAUAAUUUUUUUUAACAGUUUUGCUCUGGGGCUUAUCUGCUUUUUCUCUUUUCUAAGUUUUAAAUUUCAGAUCCAGUUGUAGUUUGCUGCUGAGUUGAAGCCUCUGUAAUUAUUUCUUUAAAUUUUUAAGAAGAGGACCAGGUGUGAUCGUUUCAGAACAGCACACACUGUCAUGUGUUGUAAUGUGGCUUACUCUGGGGAGGCUCUGUUUAUCAGUCCUGCCUCUGCUAUCUACCAGCUCUGUGGCUCUGGACUAGUUCAUCUUUCUUAGCCUCCUAAAGAUGUAGGAUAUGUGAAAUAAUAUGUGGAGAGUACCUGUCGUGCACGGCCUGUCCAUAGUAAAUGUGCUGAAAUAAUAACUGUUAUAAAUAUCCCUCCCUUUUGCAAAUUGUUCAGUGUUCUGAAUACAGAACUCAAAUGUCUUCAGGGGUCAGGAAAAUGAUUCAAAUGUGUAAAGCUACCUGGGAUGUGUAAAGCUACUAGGCAACAGGGAAUGGAAAAAACUGUGAUGAAUAGGAGGGUGCAUGCUCUGCUAAAAGAAAACCUAGGCCGGGUACGGUGGCUCAUGCCUAUAAUCCCAGCACUUUGGGAGGCUGAGGCAGGUGGAUCACCUGAGGUCAGGAGUUCCAGACCAGCCUGGCCAACAUGGCAAAACCCCGUCUCUACUAAAAAUACAAAAAGUUAGCUGGGCAUGGUGGCAGGUGCCUGUAAUCCUAGCCACUCGGGAGGCUGAGGCAGGAGAAUCGCUUGAACUCAGGAGGCGGAGGUUGCAGUGAGCCGAGAUCGCAACACUGCACUCAGCCUUGGCAACAAGAGUGAAACUCCAUCUCAAAAAAAAAAAAAAAAAAGAAAAAAGAAAAUCUAGCUCAAAUAUUAUACAUAAAAGGACGGAAGGGAGAGAGGGAGCAAGGGAGGAAAGAAGACAACACUGUACAUAGCUCCUACCUCGACUUGGCCCUGGAGCCACCAGUUUGCAGCCCUUACUCUGAUUUAAAGUAGAAUAUAUUUUGGUCCAGGCGUGGUGGCUCAUGCCUGUAAUCCCAACACUUUGGGAGGCCAAGGUGGGAGGAUCACUUGAGCCCAGGAGGUUGAGACUAGCUUGGGCAAUAUAGUGAGGCCUUGACUCUAAUUAAAAAAAAAAAGUAGAAUAUAUGUCAAGGAGCUGAAUGAGCUGUGUUUGGGAAAUAUAUCCCAGGUCUUAACCCUCAGUUUUCAACUACUAGUAACAAAGGAAACUGCCUAUUGAAUUUCUAACCAAAGAGGAGUUAUGUCACUCCAAGUACUUCGGGGUAUAGGAUUCAUCUACCCCAAUACCAGUGUGAAUGAGACCCUCAAUAAUUUUCAAUAAUUUAUUAACAAUGACAACAAUAUAACACCAAUUCUAUCUUUAUGUAAUGUUGUUUAUUCUCAGGAUGAGGCUGGAUUUUGAGACAGGCAUUUCCUGGUAAUUGAACAGCAUGAUAUUGGUUUUAAAGGUGAGACUAAGAGUUGUUUUGUUAGAGACUCUCUGGGGACAAGCCUGGAACACUCUAAGGGGUGCAGAUGGUGUUCAUUAAUAUUAUUUGUAAUCCACAAACAUUUAUACAUAUUCUUCAGAGAAGCUGUGUUCAGGUUUUUCUUAUGCAAAAGCCUAAUAAGGAGAACACAGUGCUGUAUGAUUAGAUGAGGAUGUUAAAGUAUUUACCUUCCUUUCCAAAAUCUCUUUCCUAUAGCACCAAAAAUUGCCAUGUUAUUUGGACUUUUGAGAUAAGGACAUUGGACACUUCUAAAACAUAACCUCCCAGGCAAUCUGGGAAGAGAUAGAGAUGGUACAUUGAGCUGUUAUCUUGCACUUACACCAUUCUCCAAUUAGUUUAUUAAAUUCCAGUAACCAAGCUGCUGAUCAAAGGAACGCAACAAGAAAGAAGUAAUUUUUUU
Long non-coding RNA from Pongo pygmaeus (Bornean orangutan), 3941 nucleotides. RefSeq lists it as uncharacterized. The record is from RefSeq and is a predicted model, not a curated record. NCBI's taxonomy places the organism in Eukaryota, Metazoa, Chordata, Mammalia, Primates, Hominidae. The transcript is spliced from 5 exons.